Molecule: ribosomal RNA, 137 nt
Filed under: uncultured bacterium
Lineage: Bacteria
Description: partial 16S ribosomal RNA
Rfam family: Bacterial small subunit ribosomal RNA
Source: RNAcentral
UGGGCGCAAGCCUGAUCCAGCCAUGCCGCGUGGGUGAUGAAGGCCCUAGGGUUGUAAAGCCCUUUCAGCGGGGAAGAUAAUGACGGUACCCGCAGAAGAAGCCCCGGCUAACUUCGUGCCAGCAGCCGCGGUAAUAC